UAAAGAUUAGUAAAUUAUUACCUUAGCUUGUCAAACUAAAAUUAACAUUUAUUUUGUUAUCUUUAU
RNAcentral lists this transfer RNA (66 nucleotides) under Psilodens balduri. RNAcentral describes it as "tRNA-Asp". Lineage: Eukaryota; Metazoa; Mollusca; Caudofoveata; Limifossorida; Limifossoridae. The record is from RNAcentral.